UACGUAGGUGGCAAGCGUUGUCCGGAUUUACUGGGCGUAAAGGGCGUGCAGGCGGUUUGUUAAGUGCAGAGUGAAAGCUCCCGGCUCAACUGGGAGAGGUCUUUGCAUACUGGCAAACUCGAGGGAGGCAGAGGAAAGUGGAAUUCCCGGUGUAGUGGUGAUAUGCGUAGAUAUCGGGAGGAACACCAGUGGCGAAGGCGGUUGCCUGGGGCUUUGCUGACGCUGAUGCGCGAAAGCCAGGGGAGCAAACGGG
This 253-nucleotide ribosomal RNA is filed under the name uncultured bacterium. RNAcentral describes it as "partial 16S ribosomal RNA". It matches the Rfam family "Bacterial small subunit ribosomal RNA", at positions 524 to 776 of the family's 1533-position model. The record is from RNAcentral.